Brassica napus (rape) is the source of this 1760-nucleotide long non-coding RNA. RefSeq lists it as uncharacterized. Lineage: Eukaryota; Viridiplantae; Streptophyta; Magnoliopsida; Brassicales; Brassicaceae. The record is from RefSeq and is a predicted model, not a curated record. The transcript has 3 exons.
AUAGAACUCAUCUAAACACAAAAAGACUUAACUCAAAACUCACAUAUAAAUUUAUAAUAGAGAAAUUGCACUCCAUGUACACUACUAACUGAGUAAUUUGCAAGGAUGGAAUUCAGCAUUUCUCGCUGAUGUGUUUUUUUUUAUUGUCCGCAUUACCCCUAUUCACUGUACAAAACAUUCUAAAAGCCUAACUUACAUACAAAACACCUAUUUCUUUAUCUUAUGCGUGAAAAAAAAAUUGUUGGAGAGAGUUACUUCCUUUUUCACUAUAAUCGAUACACUCCUUAUUUCUAAAAUAGCCAUUACAUCUCUCAUCUUUCCCAUUCUCAUUGUUUACUCCGCCGGAACCUUUCUUACAAACUAAUCGAAUUCUCACCGGAUUAUCCAGGCUCUGUACAAUUAUCGGAAGGGUCUAUAAUGGGAGGGUCCAAAGGCUUGCGAAGUUCCAGUUUCCAGCAAAGAUCUCUAUAAAUAUUGCAGAGAGGGCCAGACCAGUUUCAGCCAAGGUCUAUUACUGUUGGUGGCAUUUUAGUUUCCAGCAAAGAUCUUACAGAUACUUUGAAGAGGACUAGGCCGAAAUUUAUAUCAAUAACAAGUUUUAGUUUAGCCAUUUUUAUCUAAAGAUAUUCGUCUCAGGUGCUAUCGGUUGUAAAGCAUAAAUUUGCAAUUAAUUAACUAUGCUUUCAGUGUUAUAUCCGGCUAAAAAUCUUUUUAAUCAUAUGUGUUGAGUUUUGGUAAAGAGUUAAUUUUGUGUUUAGCCGUACACAAAUUUUAUCAUGUGUUGUGGUUGGUUAUAGAGUUAAUUUUAUGUUUAACCGACCAUGUAGCCAUGCUAAUUUAUGGAAGAUAUAAAUGAGUCACAUUAUAACCAUACUAACUUAUAUAUCAACCAUAUAAUUUGUACUUACGCCAACCCUACCCAAACUAAAAGCAAAGAAGAUGAGUAUGUGUUUAUAUAUCUGUUAGCCGGCUAAACUAACAAAUAUACUGCCCGUAAAGAUUUGAUGCAAAUACAUAAAAAUAUAUUUGUUAGCCGAUUAAACUAAUUAAUGUUAACGAAUGUUAACCGGCUAAAAUAACUAAUGUUAACGAAUAUUGGCCAGCUAAACUAACAAAUACAUAAACUUUAAUAACUCAUGUUAGCUGGCUAAUUAUUAUACUAUCUUUGCGGAGUUUUGCUAGUUAGUUAUCGGCACUACAGUCUUCUUGUUGCGCCGUUGCUGUGAAGAUCCUGGUGUCGACGAGCUUGUUUUCGGAAUGUUGGUUCUCUGGGUCAUAUCCCUCUUAUAUGUUGAAGCUCUUACUGGCCGGUAUAUUUUAGGGUUUGUGUGCGGUGCUGUAGCAUGCGUGUGACGGCGAGGCAGCGGCUGAACUUGGUGGAAAAAGUUUGAGAGUCGGGUCUCUUGUAGAUUCAGUGGUCGAGGCCGCAGAGCAACUACGGGGAUGGCUCUUUUGGUGAAGACUAAUCGUGGAUGGAUCGAUGUACGGUUUCGAACACACCGGCUGCCGUGAAUUUGCGAGGCCAUCGGAUCCAAUACCUUUGUGUUCAUCGGGACUGGGCCAUAGCUCAUAUGUCUUCUUUCCCUUGCUACAAUCUCCUCUCUUUAGAUCUUGGUCUAGAUUUUGUUGGUGUUUAUGCUUGUUCGUUCUUGCUGAAUCCGUUCGUUCAGGGUUCUAACGUUUUUCCGAUACCGUAUAUUUUUCUCCGACGUCCUUUUAUCAGGGAAAAAUUAAUAUAAUUUUGUUACAAUUAAAAAAGA